Small nuclear RNA from Pteronotus mesoamericanus, 107 nucleotides. The record is from RefSeq and is a predicted model, not a curated record. NCBI's taxonomy places the organism in Eukaryota, Metazoa, Chordata, Mammalia, Chiroptera, Mormoopidae.
GUGCUCACUUCGGCAGCACGUAUACUAAAAUUGGAACAGUACAGAGAAGAUUAGCAAGGUCCCUGAGCAAGCAUGACAUGUAAAUCUGUGAAGCGUUCCAUAUUUUU